RNAcentral lists this ribosomal RNA (203 nucleotides) under uncultured bacterium. RNAcentral describes it as "partial 16S ribosomal RNA". It matches the Rfam family "Bacterial small subunit ribosomal RNA", at positions 1298 to 1500 of the family's 1533-position model. The record is from RNAcentral.
CUGCAGGCUGCAACUCGCCUGCACGAAGUCGGAAUUGCUAGUAAUCGUAGGUCAGCAUACUACGGUGAAUACGUUCCCGGGACUUGUACACACCGCCCGUCAAACCAUGAGAGUUGGCAACACCCGAAGUCGGUAGUCUAACCGCAAGGAGGACGCCGCCGAAGGUGGGGUUGAUGAUUAGGGUUAAGUCGUAACAAGGUAAC